RNAcentral lists this microRNA (20 nucleotides) under Ciona intestinalis (vase tunicate). Its description in RNAcentral is "cin-miR-4142-5p". The record is from miRBase by way of RNAcentral. Lineage: Eukaryota; Metazoa; Chordata; Ascidiacea; Phlebobranchia; Cionidae.
UAGCAGCUCAUCUGGUAUAA